GAUGAACGCUGGCGGCGUGCUUAACACAUGCAAGUCGAGCGAGAAGUUUUGAAGAGAUUCUUCGGAUGAAAUUUAAAAUGGAAAGCGGCGGACGGGUGAGUAACGCGUAGGCAACCUGCCCCAUACAAAGGGAUAGCAUUUGGAAACGAAUAUUAAUACCUUAUGAAACUUAACUAGUGCAUGCUAGGUAGGUCAAAGAUUUAUCGGUAUGGGAUGGGCCUGCGUCUGAUUAGCUAGUUGGUGAGGUAACGGCUCACCAAGGCGACGAUCAGUAGCCGACCUGAGAGGGUGAACUGCCACAUUGGAACUGAGACACGGUCCAAACUCCUACGGGAAGCAGCAGUGGGGAAUAUUGCACAAUGCGGGAAACCGUGAUGCAGCAACGCCGCGUGAACGAUGAAGGCCUUUGGGUCGUAAAGUUCUGUUCUAGGUGAUGAAAACUGACAGUAACCAAGGAGAAAGCCCCGGCUAACUCCGUG
Molecule: ribosomal RNA, 479 nt
Filed under: uncultured bacterium
Lineage: Bacteria
Description: partial 16S ribosomal RNA
Rfam family: Bacterial small subunit ribosomal RNA
Source: RNAcentral